Molecule: transfer RNA, 71 nt
Filed under: Ophiognomonia clavigignenti-juglandacearum
Lineage: Eukaryota; Fungi; Ascomycota; Sordariomycetes; Diaporthales; Gnomoniaceae
Description: tRNA-Arg
Rfam family: tRNA
About the family: Transfer RNA (tRNA) molecules are approximately 80 nucleotides in length. Their secondary structure includes four short double-helical elements and three loops (D, anti-codon, and T loops).
Source: RNAcentral
GGUGCAUUAAUUUAAUGGUAGAAUUGAACGCUACGGAUGUUUUAGUGCUUGUUCGAAUCAAGCAUGCACCG